RNAcentral lists this ribosomal RNA (459 nucleotides) under uncultured bacterium. RNAcentral's name for it is "partial 16S ribosomal RNA". It matches the Rfam family "Bacterial small subunit ribosomal RNA", at positions 338 to 795 of the family's 1533-position model. The record is from RNAcentral.
CCUACGGGAGGCAGCAGUGAGGAAUAUUGGUCAAUGGUCGGGAGACUGAACCAGCCAAGCCGCGUGAGGGAUGAAGGUACAGAGUAUCGUAAACCUCUUUUGUCAGGGCACAAAGGCGGGGACGUGUCCCCGGAUGAGUGUACCUGAAGAAAAAGCAUCGGCUAACUCCGUGCCAGCAGCCGCGGUAAUACGGAGGAUGCGAGCGUUAUCCGGAUUUAUUGGGUUUAAAGGGUGCGCAGGCGGUCUGUUAAGUCAGCGGUCAAAGCCCGGGGCUCAACCCCGGCCCGCCGUUGAAACUGGCAGGCUCGAGUUGGAGAGAAGUAUGCGGAAUGCGCGGUGUAGCGGUGAAAUGCAUAGAUAUCGCGCAGAACUCCGAUUGCGAAGGCAGCAUGCCGGCUCCACACUGACGCUGAGGCACGAAAGCGUGGGUAUCGAACAGGAUUAGAUACCCCGGUAGUC